CUAUUACUAUACAGGAAUUUGUAACUAUAAUAGGGUCUUGGGGCUUGCUAUGUGUCUGUUCCACAGGAGUUGUAUGUGACAGAUUUACACAGUCACAAUGGAAACUUGAAUUCUGCAUAGUUUGUAUCUGAUUUCCAUUAAGGGAAAAAAAAUCAAUCUUACUGUAAUAUUUGAGUAGCUAAGAGAUUACCAUGAAUUGGCGCGUGUUUAAAUAUUGAUAUAAAUUUGCAGACAGAGGUAGGUCUUGCCAAAAAGAAAUUGAGUAUGAAACUUAGGAUAUGAGAUUUUUUGAAAAUGGAAAAUACUAUUGAUUUUUAAUAAUCUUCUAUUUUAUUUACCUACUCUUUUCCUGUACUUCUCCUCUUUUCUGCAUCCAAGCUGUCAGAUUAGAUCAUGAUUUCUUUGGGGUGUUAAAGCUGAUCCCGCUGAUAAAGCUGUUCCUAAAGGACAAAUAUAAGUCGCCCCUCCCCUAUUGCCCUUAGAUUUUAGUGUAGUGAGGAGGGGGACAGGCCUGUCAGGCCAACAGAAUACUGA
This 534-nucleotide long non-coding RNA is filed under the name Marmota monax (woodchuck). Lineage: Eukaryota; Metazoa; Chordata; Mammalia; Rodentia; Sciuridae. The record is from RNAcentral.